CUGGCUUCUCAGCCUUUUGGCUAAGAUCAAGUGUAGAAUUUGUUCUUAUCAGUUUGAUAUUCAGUAACACAUUCUGAGCCUUACAGAUGUCUGAGCUUGAAGGGUAGCUGGUGUAGUCUUAACAAGAUUAUGCAAGAAAAAUAUCUUGAAAAGGAAUGAUGUGGUAACCUCCU
Centrocercus urophasianus (Greater sage-grouse) is the source of this 173-nucleotide small nuclear RNA. RefSeq annotates it as U2 spliceosomal RNA. NCBI's taxonomy places the organism in Eukaryota, Metazoa, Chordata, Aves, Galliformes, Phasianidae. The transcript has a single exon. The record is from RefSeq and is a predicted model, not a curated record.